Schistosoma mansoni is the source of this 45-nucleotide non-coding RNA. The record is from Rfam. Lineage: Eukaryota; Metazoa; Platyhelminthes; Trematoda; Strigeidida; Schistosomatidae.
AUCCAUCUGACAAGUCCUAAACAGGACAAAACGCGCUUCUUGGAU